AUGGCCCAGGUUUUACAAGGAACACACAUCUUUGUGAAUGUCUCUUAUCUUUCAGCCCAGUGUUCAGGACCUCCAGUGCUCUGCUGUGCUGGAUUGAAUAGUACAUGCUACCGAGGGUGUUUUUGUGAUGAGUACUGCAUCAUAUCCAAGGACUGCUGUCACGACUACAAUCAGACAUGCAACCAGACAGCAACAUCAACUACUCCUUCCGCACAAACCAUAUUGAAUUCAACAACACCACCAUCAACAACAGCACCAUUAUUUCAGUCAAGCUCACCAUCAUCAACUUUAUCAUCAUCCUCCUCACCAUCACCAGACUCUCAAUCAUCCUUACCUUCAGCAUCAUCAACCUCCCAAUCAUAUGCAUCAUCCUCAUCGUCAUCACCAACCUCCCAAUCAUAUGAAUUAUCUUCAUCUGUAGAUAAGAGAAUGACAUCAGGUCUGCGUGUGUAUGUGCGCUCCAGGGCAAAUAUGGAGGCAACACUAAAGGCUUUGCAAAGUUUUCUCCGUAACAUGGAGGCCGUCAUGAGGCGAAAUAAGGAUGAAGACUGCAAGAUACGAGUGCUAAAAAACCCCCAGCCAUGAAAACAUCAACAUCACUGACUCUCAUCUCCACAUCACAUAAUAGCUGCUCUAGAAGACCUUUCAGAAUAUUCACUGCAAUUGGAAAUGUGUUGCCAGUAGGGGGCGCCAGAAGUUUAAAAUAUGAGUAUGGAACAGAUUUAAAGGCAGAGUUUACCAAAAAAUGCAAAAUCACUCACUAUUUAUUCACACUGAAAUGGAUCCAUACCCUUAUUAGUCUGAACACAAAGGAAUAUUUUGAAGAAAGUUGAAAACCUGUAAACAUUGACUUCCAUAGUAUGAAAAACAAAUACUAUGGAACUCAAUAAUUACAGGCUUUUCAAAAUUCAUCCUGUAAAACCUGUGACAAACAAAUCCUGUGGAAAAAAAAAAAAUAUUAUUGGGUUACAUAGCAUUUAUUUUUCCUACCAUGGAAGUCAUUGGUUACAUCAUUUUGUGUUCAGCAGAAGAAACUCACAAGUUUGAAACGAAUAAAGACCUAGCAAAUGAUGGUGGAAUUUUUGGGUGAAUUCUUUAAUCUACUUUUGCAAGACCU
RNAcentral lists this long non-coding RNA (1117 nucleotides) under Danio rerio (zebrafish). Its description in RNAcentral is "lncRNA (ENSDARG00000117370.1)". Lineage: Eukaryota; Metazoa; Chordata; Actinopteri; Cypriniformes; Danionidae. The record is from RNAcentral.